Lagenorhynchus albirostris (white-beaked dolphin) is the source of this 2310-nucleotide RNA transcript. It is a transcript of the gene named ADP-ribosyltransferase 1, with no coding region annotated. The record is from RefSeq and is a predicted model, not a curated record. The transcript is spliced from 5 exons. Lineage: Eukaryota; Metazoa; Chordata; Mammalia; Artiodactyla; Delphinidae.
CCCCUCCCCUGGUGGCCAUCGCUGGAGACCAGUACCAGCUUCCCCAUCCCGGAGAAAGUCUAGAAGUCAAGCAGGGGUGGUGGGGCACGAGGCUGAAGAGGUUAUGGCAGGCAAGGUCACAGAGCACUUCAAAUGCCAGUGCCUGGAGGUUGGAUUCUGUCCUGAGGGUAAGGAGAUUCCCAUUUUCCAGACGAGGAAACUGAGACCCAAAGAGUAACUUGCCCAAGGUCACCUCCAACAUGCAGACCCCUGCCAUGAUGUCUCUGCUGCUCGUGUCCAUGGGCCUCAUGGAAGCACUUCAGGCCCAGAGCCACCCCAUCACACGACGAGACCUCUUCUCUCGAGAAAUGCCCCUGGACAUGGCCCUGGCCUCCUUUGACGACCAGUAUGCUGGCUGUGCCGCAGCCAUGGCGGCGGCUCUCCCGGAUCUCAACCGCACGGAGUUCCAGGCCAACAAAGUGUACGCCGAUGUCUGGGCUCAGGCAAGCAGCCAGUGGCAGGAGCGCCAGGCCUGGGGGUCCAAGUGGGGCCUCAGCCCUACCCGUCUGUCCCCGCCCGCAGGCUUCCGAGAAGAGCAUGGGGUGGCCCUCCUGGCCUACACAGCUAACAGCCCCCUGCACAAAGAAUUCAACGCGGCCGUGCGCGAGGCUGGCCGCUCCCGGCUCCACUACCUCCACCACUUCUCCUUCAAGACACUCCACUUCCUGCUGACUGAGGCCCUGCAGCUGCUGGGCAGGGGCCAGCGUCCACCCCAGUGCCGCCAGGUGUUCCGAGGGGUGCAGGGCCUACGCUUCCGGCCAGCAGGGCCCGGGGCCACCGUCAGGCUGGGGGGCUUUGCCUCUGCAUCCUUGCAGAACGUUGCAGCCCAGCAGUUUGGGGAAGACACCUUCUUCGGCAUCUGGACCUGCCUCGGGGCCCCUAUCAAGGGCUACUCCUUUUUCCCUGGGGAGGAGGAGGUGCUGAUCCCUCCCUUCGAGACCUUCCAGGUGAUCAAUGCCAGCAGACCGGCCCAGGGCCCCACCCGCAUCUACCUCCGGGCCCUGGGCCAGCGCAGCAUGUACAACUGUGAGUACAUCAAAGGUGAGCAGGGCACGUGCCAGCCAGCAGCUGGGCGGAAGGUGGCCUUGCCCGUCCCGUUUUCAGAAGAUACAUACAGAGAUAUUAGAAACAGUGAGAAGGACCGAGUCCUGUCCCCCAGCCCCUCCACCCCUUCCGUCCAAGGAGAGAUAUAACCUUCUUAAGUAGCACGCUUGCUUCUCGACCCUGGAGGUGUCUAAGCCAGAGCUGGCCACUUGCCUGCGGGGAGACUGAAGAGGGUUUCCUGACCAACGCAGAUGUCUUUGGCCAUCUGAGGGCCAAAGAGACUUGGUGUCAGGCUUUCCUCCCAGCUGGAAGCUGCUGCCAGAAAUGAGUAAGCGGCUCACCCCAGUUUUCUGAGAGGAGUGUGUUUAUUUGACUGAACAGAACCCCUGUGCCGUCAUGUGUGCUGGCGGGGGUGGGGUGGGGUGGUGAGCCAGCAGUCAGGUGCAUUACCCCUAAAUUCCAGCUUGGGCUCUGGCAGGUCUCGGAUGCUUUCCUGUCCACCCUCCCUGGACCAUCCAGAGGAGUAAUCAUGAAGAUGGGCCCAGGUCCUUAACCUCUGAAAGGGCUGCGGGCUGCUGGUCCUCGUUGAGGGAUGCCCAGGGGCCUGUGAGGCCCACUUUUCAUAUCAAUAGUUAGAGGCAGGCUGUUGGCUGGACCCAUGGACCACAUCUCAAGGGAUAAGGUCCAGCGUGGCUUCAGUUACCACCUUGGACAGCAUCACGAGUGUGCACGAGUUGAUGGAAGGUGAAGGAGACACACAAACUAGCCCCUCCUUGGCUGGGACAAGACAUGGGAGAGGGAGAGGUGGGUGUGGCAUGGAGGCAAAGUUACAGGCCGGGGGGGUGGGGGGCAGGAGGAGUGCCCAGAUGACCCUGGCUUCAAGGGCUGGCGCCUUUCUGGCCCUGCUAGUCAUGGGUCAAGUCAAACCCAGGCAAGGGAGGUCCCACUGUAAGGAAGCAGAAUCAGGAGAAAACACACCAGCUUCUCCUAAAGCAAGUCAGGACCAUGGGGCUCUGGAGUCCCUUACCAUCCCGAGAGCUGCCGAGCCUUUGAUUCUUUGCUGUUUCUUCCCUACAGACAAGCAGUGCAAGUCAGGGCCCUGCCGUCUGGAUAACUCAGCCAUGGGUCAGGGCCCCCUGUCUGCAGUCUGGUCCCUUCUACUGCUGCUCUGGUUCCUUGUUGGAGAAGCCUUUCCAGAGAGUCCAGGACUCCUCUAAUCCAUCAGCC